ACCAAUAAAUUAAGUUAUAUUGGUAAAAAGACAGUUAAAUAAUAUUAAGGUAAAAAAUCUGUGAAAUCUUUUAGGGAAACUGGGAUUGGAUACCCCAUUAUAAGAAAUAAAUAUACCAGAGCACUACAAAUUUAAAACUCAAAGAACUUGGCGGUAUUUUAGACCAUUUAGGGGAAUUUGUCUCAUAAUCGACACUCCACGCUAGACCUUACCUUCUUUCAGUUUGUAUACCGUUGUUAUCAGGCAACUUUAAAUAAAAGUUGGCUAUAUAUGCUUCUAUAUCAAAUCAAGGUGCAGCCUAUGAGGGGGCGAAGAUGGAUUACAAUUAUUGAAGGAGGACUUAAUAGUAAUCUAUAAAAAAAAUUUGAAUCGGCUCUAUAAUGUG
RNAcentral lists this ribosomal RNA (385 nucleotides) under Daphnella corimbensis. Its description in RNAcentral is "partial 12S ribosomal RNA". The record is from RNAcentral. Lineage: Eukaryota; Metazoa; Mollusca; Gastropoda; Neogastropoda; Raphitomidae.